UCGCAUGUGAAUGGAUUUGCCCGGAGCGAGGGCUACUAUGCAAGGACAGUGACGUACAUCUGGACCUGGAAAUGCCCUCAGGCAGGCAUCAUCACCUUCACGUGCAGAAGCAGGGACUGCACAGGGGGCUGUUGGAGUGACACAUGUGCAAGUACCUAUUCAGGUAGGAGGAGGAGAGAGGUGACCCACAAGACCCAGCAAGGACAGAUUGAGGAGGGCAUAUUUGGAGUGAAGGUUUGCCUUUCCUUGAUGUGGAGUUCAUAUGCGUUCUUUUUCUUUCAUUAGCACCAAGGUCAAUGCAUCCUUUGUCUCAGCAUAUAGCGCACAAAGGUGGUGGUCAUUCAGGGGGAUAUCAAUGAUUACGACAAUGUGUUGGAGGCCUCCCGUGGAGCCGAUGUUGUCAUCCACAUGGCCAGCUUGGUGGACAUCUGGCACAAAGUCCCAAAGUCCGUCAUCCACUCAGUCAAUGUCACAGAGGAACUCUGGAGCUCUGACAGUGACCA
This is a long non-coding RNA of Solea solea (common sole), 503 nucleotides long. RefSeq lists it as uncharacterized. The record is from RefSeq and is a predicted model, not a curated record. The transcript is spliced from 5 exons. NCBI's taxonomy places the organism in Eukaryota, Metazoa, Chordata, Actinopteri, Pleuronectiformes, Soleidae.